AAAAUAAUAAUAAUAGAACACUCUCUGUUCCGACGACUCUCUCAUCACAAAGAGAAACAGCUGGCAAGGAUGAUAUGGCCCUCCACUCUCUCUCUUGGAAAAAGACAAAAAAAGAAUUGGACACCCUCUCUCAAAAAAAUCUCUAUGUCUCUCAAAAAGAAUUAAAAAGGAAAAAGGGGUGGGGGACAACAUACCACUACCGUUGGAAUCCCACUCAAAAGCAUUCUCUCUGAUCCUCCAACGAAAAAAAGAAAGAAAGAAAAUAGAAAGAGAAAAGAAAGAAUAGAAAAGGAAAACGAGAGAGAGGUCGUCUCCUCGUCGGCAGGAAGAAAAGAGGACUAUUCCUCUUCUUCUUCAAAAAAUCUCCGCCUCUACAUCUCCACUGCGUCGCCGACACUCUUCCGUCAGAAUCAACCGCAACUCACCGUCCACCGCUGCGAGCCUCCG
Molecule: long non-coding RNA, 447 nt
Filed under: Lathyrus oleraceus (garden pea)
Lineage: Eukaryota; Viridiplantae; Streptophyta; Magnoliopsida; Fabales; Fabaceae
Description: Pisum sativum (pea) long non-coding RNA (PSAT_LNC004264)
Source: RNAcentral